Molecule: long non-coding RNA, 274 nt
Organism: Oryzias melastigma (Indian medaka)
Lineage: Eukaryota; Metazoa; Chordata; Actinopteri; Beloniformes; Adrianichthyidae
Exons: 3
Source: RefSeq, a predicted model, not a curated record
ACUAUAAAGUAGUUCAAAGAUAUUGAUGGCUUUUUCUGUCAUGUGUGGUUUCUUUCAGUUUGUAUCUGUAUAAACUAGGAAUUGCACCACAGAUUCAAGACCUGCUCGGCAAAGUGGCUUUUACUGAGGAAGAGAUCAGUAAUAUGAGGAGCGAGCUAGAAAAGUACGGCAUUCAGAUGCCGUCUUUCAGUAAAAUUGGAGGCAUCUUGGCCAAUGAGCUGUCAGUGGAUGAAGCUGCAUUGCACGCUGCAGUGAUUGCUGUGAACGAGGCCAU